UCGGGAAUUUUGGGCAAUGGGCGAAAGCCUGACCCAGCAACGCCGCGUGAAGGAUGAAGUAUUUCGGUAUGUAAACUUCGAAAGAAUAGGAAGAAUAAAUGACGGUACUAUUUAUAAGGUCCGGCUAACUACGUGCCAGCAGCCGCGGUAAUACGUAGGGACCAAGCGUUGUUCGGAUUUACUGGGCGUAAAGGGCGCGUAGGCGGCAAUUCAAGUCAUCUGUGAAAUCUCCGGGCUCAACCUGGGAACUGCAUUCAAAACUGACAAGCUAGAGUAUGGUAGAGGGUGGUGGAAUUUCCUGUGUAGCGGUGAAAUGCGUAGAUAUAGGAAGGAACACCAGUGGCGAAGGCGACCACCUGGACUGAUACUGACACUGAGGUGCGAAAGCGUGGGGAGCAAACAGGAUUAGAUACCCCCGUAGUCCCUGAGCGGGCUGGCAAGGCGCAU
RNAcentral lists this ribosomal RNA (447 nucleotides) under uncultured bacterium. Its description in RNAcentral is "bacterial SSU rRNA". It matches the Rfam family "Bacterial small subunit ribosomal RNA", at positions 355 to 825 of the family's 1533-position model. The record is from RNAcentral.